AUUGAACGCUGGCGGCAGGCCUAACACAUGCAAGUCGAGCGGAUGAAGGGAGCUUGCUCCUGGAUUCAGCGGCGGACGGGUGAGUAAUGCCUAGGAAUCUGCCUGGUAGAGGGGGAUAACGUCCGGAAACGGGCGCUAAUACCGCAUACGUCCUGAGGGAGAAAGUGGGGGAUCUUCGGACCUCACGCUAUCAGAUGAGCCUAGGCCGGAUUAGCUAGUUGGUGGGGUAAAGGCGUACCAAGGCGACGAUCCGUAACUGGUCUGAGAGGAUGAUCAGUCACACUGGAACUGAGACACGGUCCAGACUCCUACGGGAGGCAGCAGUGGGGAAUAUUGGACAAUGGGCGAAAGCCUGAUGCAGCCAUGCCGCGUGUGUGAAGAAGGUCUUCGGAUUGUAAAGCACUUUAAGUUGGGAGGAAGAGCAGUGAGAUAAUACCUUGCUGUUUUGACGUUACCAAAAGAAUAAGCACCGGCUAACUUCGUG
Molecule: ribosomal RNA, 484 nt
Filed under: uncultured bacterium
Lineage: Bacteria
Description: partial 16S ribosomal RNA
Rfam family: Bacterial small subunit ribosomal RNA
Source: RNAcentral